Molecule: unclassified non-coding RNA, 243 nt
Filed under: Pocillopora damicornis (cauliflower coral)
Lineage: Eukaryota; Metazoa; Cnidaria; Anthozoa; Scleractinia; Pocilloporidae
Description: melanopsin-A-like, transcript variant X1
Source: RNAcentral
UGUCACUUAUUUUUUGACUUGUGACUAGAAACUAGUGUGUUAUAAGAAGAUUUUUAAUUAUGCUGUUUGAGUUUGGAUCACUAAGGGUCUAACAAGCGAAGGUUUCAAAUAUCAACAGCAUUGCUCGAAAAGGUUCAAAGAUAUUUUGACAUUCCUGCCUCACUGAACUAUAAGAAAGCGUGAGUAUUCUUUGAGAUAAGAACUAAUUUUAAAAAAUUUACCUUAAGAAUUUGUUGACAACGA